ACUACACAUCUUUGAAGCAGGAGUUGCAAGUUUGAUUCCCACCCAGUAUCCAGUAAUGAUCCUGGCUUCACCCCUCAUGCUAACCAAAAAACCCUGGAAUGGCGUGGCUUUGUCUGCAGCACACACACAAGAACAUUUCACUACACAUCGUUCUCUGUAUGAUACUGUAUAUGUUUGUUGGAGCAUGCAUCAAGACAGUUUAAAAAUUCACAUUUUUAUUUAUUAUGGCAGAAUGAUUGAUAGGACCAGAUGGCCGUGCAGUAUAAAGUGAUCUGGGAGAAACACCACUGUAUAUCAGUGAAGCAGCAACAUGUUUUUGUGGUGUUGCACUUUGUAGACGGUCCCUGAGCACUUCUCUCAAACUCAGCUGCACCUGGAGACAAGCAGGGUUUCUUUCACCUCCACCUUAAUGUUGGGAUUCAGAUGCUGAUGGUGUUCUGAUAACCUUUCUUAUCUGUUAUUGAUCCAGUUCAAAUAUGUGGCAUUAUUUCAAACUUAUGUGGUUCUUUCAAUAAACUCAAACCAAAUGGAGGCUCUGCUCUUUCCACGGUGAAUCACGCACCCACGCCCUGGAGGGUUUAUCAACUUCAAGUUCAGCCUCUGAGCAUGUUGAACCAGUUUACUGGAUCACAGCCCAGCAGGAAAUCCUCUCUGUUCGUUAGCAGUGAGGCAGGAAUGGCAGAGUUUUGAGAUGUGGAUUCACUCAGUUAUGAGCGGAGUGAUCAGGACUCUGUGUUUGCUGUCCUUCUUUGAAGGAUGAUGAAAAACUUGCUGCCGUUCCUGCUCCUCGUUUCCCAGCAUGCCCUAGCUGUGGUGGUGGAGGUAAAUGAGGGGGCAGAGUCUGUCCUACUGCCCUGUGAGUUCUCAGGUUUAAUACCUGAGAAUGACUCCACCGUGAUGUGGACUCACGAAGAUCUUUAUAACAAAUCUGUCCACCUACGACUAAAAGAAGGAGAUGAUCUUGGAGAGCAAAACCAGCGUUACAGCGGGCGCACAUCGAUGAGGCCUGAUGCUCUGAACACUGGAAACUUCAGCCUCACUCUGAGAAAACCACAACUGACUGACAGCGGCAACUACACCUGCUCCAUCGGUGAUGGAAUAGAAGAAAGGAGACUGAAAAAUGUACAGCUGCAGGUCAAAGAACAGUUUCCAUCCUGGGCCACAGCUCUCCUGGUUCUCCUGGUUCUCCUUGUUCUUCUUGUGGUUUCUGGAGGUCUUCUUUUUUAUUUCCGGCACUAUUUCAUGUCAGAUUAUAAGGUGGAGGUGGAUUCAGGGGUGGAGUCUGUCCAGCUGCCCUGCAAAACCACAGUUAACCUGCCUAAAGAUGCUAAAGUGGAGUGGAAGAACAAAAACAACAGGAAGGUCCACGUGUAUCAGAACGGCUCUGACCAGCUUGAAGAACAGCAUAAUUUUUACAGAGGGCGAACAAAGAUGAAGAGAAACUUACUGGAACCUGGAGACCUCAGUCUGAUCCUGAAACCCCCCACAGACACAGACACCUACACCUGCACCGUCUACAACAACAGGGGGGAGAUUCUGAUGAAAAAAGAAGUGCUGCUCAUUGUCAGAGGUCAGUGCUGUAGAUACAGGUCAAAAGUCAGAGAUCAGACUUAUGGAUAAGACAACGACCAAAUCCACCUGAAAAGUCUGCAAAAAGAAUUUUCACCUUUUCACAGUGGGGACUUUGAGUAAGCCCUAGUAAAUAAUUUUAGAGUAUAUGUACUUUACAUAUUCUAAUUUUAAAAUUAUUAUUUUGCUAGCUAGCAAACUCCGCGGAUAAAUUUUUGAAAUGCACUGAGUGUGAUGCAAUACAGCGCUAUUAUAGCAGUUAGUUAUGGCAUAACAGCAAUGUUAGCCAGGUACUUAACUAGCCAACUUAAGGCAUUCUGAUUACAGGCUCAAAGUGAAGUUGUCAC
Long non-coding RNA from Astatotilapia calliptera (eastern happy), 1916 nucleotides. The record is from Ensembl. Lineage: Eukaryota; Metazoa; Chordata; Actinopteri; Cichliformes; Cichlidae.